RNAcentral lists this ribosomal RNA (451 nucleotides) under uncultured bacterium. RNAcentral describes it as "bacterial SSU rRNA". It matches the Rfam family "Bacterial small subunit ribosomal RNA", at positions 354 to 796 of the family's 1533-position model. The record is from RNAcentral.
GUCGAGAGGCUUCGGCAAUGGGGGAAACCCUGACCGAGCGACGCCGCGUGGGUGAUGAAGUCCUUCGGGAUGUAAAACCCUGUCAUACGGGAUGAAAAACCGAUCGGUAAAUAGCCUUUCGGUUUGACAGUACUGUAAGAGGAAGCUCCGGCUAACUCCGUGCCAGCAGCCGCGGUAAUACGGGGGGAGCGAGCGUUAUUCGGAUUCACUGGGCGUAAAGGGUUCGUAGGCGGUCAAGUAAGUCAGGGGUGAAAUCUAACGGCUUAACCGUUAAACUGCCCUUGAAACCGCUUGACUUGAGGACAUGAGAGGAAAGCGGAAUUCUUGGUGUAGCGGUGAAAUGCGUGGAUAUCAAGAGGAACACCGGUGGCGAAGGCGGCUUUCUGGCAUGUUACUGACGCUGAGGAACGAAAGUCAGGGGAGCGAACGGGAUUAGAAACCCUUGUAGUCC